This 300-nucleotide long non-coding RNA is filed under the name Salmo salar (Atlantic salmon). Its description in RNAcentral is "lncRNA (ENSSSAG00000097436.1)". The record is from RNAcentral. Lineage: Eukaryota; Metazoa; Chordata; Actinopteri; Salmoniformes; Salmonidae.
CUCAACACCAAGGUCACCUCACAAUCCUCCUCCUUGUGCUGCUCCUGAGGAGAGGAGUGCUGCCAUUUUCACACACUGAUGCACAGGCGGGCUUAAAGUGACACAUCCCCACAGUGUUUACAGAUUUGGAGUAAGCAGCAUGAGUCCAUGGCCCAUCCUACCUGGUGUCAACAGUACAGGCUGGUGGAGUUUCUGCCGUUGUGUACCUUUCUGACUCUACCCUGGAUUACCGACCUCUGCCUGCCCUUGACCUGUCGUCUGCUUGCCCCCCUGUUUUGGUGUGGGGAAUGUUUUCCUGGC